GAUGAACGCUAGCGAUAGGCUUAACACAUGCAAGUCGAGGGGCAGCAUGGUCUUAGCUUGCUAAGACUGAUGGCGACCGGCGCACGGGUGCGUAACGCGUAUGCAACUUGCCUCACAGAGGGGGAUAACCCGUCGAAAGACGGACUAAUACCGCGUACACUCUAUUUUGGGCAUCCAAGGUAGAGGAAAUGAAAUUCGCUGUGAGAUAGGCAUGCGUCCCAUUAGCUAGUUGGUGAGGUAACGGCUCACCAAGGCGACGAUGGGUAGGGGAACUGAGAGGUUGAACCCCCACACUGGUACUGAGACACGGACCAGACUCCUACGGGAGGCAGCAGUGAGGAAUAUUGGUCAAUGGGCGAGAGCCUGAAUCAGCCAAGUCGCGUGAAGGAUGACUGUCUUAUGGAUUGUAAACUUCUUUUGUAGGGGAAUAAAGAGGGGCACGUGUGCCCCAGUGAAUGUACCCUACGAAUAAGCAUCGGCUAACUCCGUG
Molecule: ribosomal RNA, 490 nt
Filed under: uncultured bacterium
Lineage: Bacteria
Description: partial 16S ribosomal RNA
Rfam family: Bacterial small subunit ribosomal RNA
Source: RNAcentral